RNAcentral lists this long non-coding RNA (405 nucleotides) under Ictidomys tridecemlineatus (thirteen-lined ground squirrel). Its description in RNAcentral is "lncRNA (ENSSTOG00000030275.1)". The record is from RNAcentral. Lineage: Eukaryota; Metazoa; Chordata; Mammalia; Rodentia; Sciuridae.
CUUUGAUCAGAUGCCUUGGAGUCUGAGUCACUUCUUGACCAAGAGAGCCUGUAGAGAAAGCAGACAGGAGUUGGAGGCUGAGGCCAGCAUGGAGUCUGACAACACGGAGGAAAGGCUGAGAGCAGGGACCAGGGUUUCCCAAGGGAACUUGCCUGCAGACAGGAGACAAAGGACCACGAAGCAGAAAACCUCAUCACUGUCUAUUUCCUGCUUUUCUUUGGAACACCUUCUUACUGAGGGAUACCGUUGUACGGCAAUAUCUGAUUCUAGGUCUCUGGGAGUGCUCUAAGCCUGGGAGCAAGCAAGAUUAACAGCAAUGUCACAAGCUGGCUUGGUACAGACUCAGUGACCCCAAAGCUGAAGAACUUCCAUCUCAUGAGUUGUAAAGGUAGCACAUAGUCCUCU